AGCCAGACUCCUACGGGAGGCAGCAGUGGGGAAUAUUGCACAAUGGGGGAAACCCUGAUGCAGCGACGCCGCGUGAGUGAAGAAGUAUUUCGGUAUGUAAAGCUCUAUCAGCAGGGAAGAAAAUGACGGUACCUGACUAAGAAGCCCCGGCUAACUACGUGCCAGCAGCCGCGGUAAUACGUAGGGGGCAAGCGUUAUCCGGAUUUACUGGGUGUAAAGGGAGCGUAGACGGCAUGGCAAGUCAGAUGUGAAAGCCCGGGGCUCAACCCCGGGACUGCAUUUGAAACUGUCAGGCUGGAGUGCAGGAGAGGUAAGUGGAAUUCCUAGUGUAGCGGUGAAAUGCGUAGAUAUUAGGAGGAACACCAGUGGCGAAGGCGGCUUACUGGACUGUAACUGACGUUGAGGCUCGAAAGCGUGGGGAGCAAACAGGAUUAGAUACCCGAGUAGU
RNAcentral lists this ribosomal RNA (448 nucleotides) under uncultured bacterium. Its description in RNAcentral is "bacterial SSU rRNA". It matches the Rfam family "Bacterial small subunit ribosomal RNA", at positions 329 to 794 of the family's 1533-position model. The record is from RNAcentral.